GCUUGGGUGCCUGAUGUAAAUAACUUUCCAGCGCAGUGGAAAGAAUACAAUUUGAAAAUAUGCAAUGGUGACCUACAUUUUAUGAAUGAUUUGCUGGCGGGCUGGGAGUAUAUGUUCUCAUGUGACAGUGUUUGUAAAUGCCUGAAUCUGAACUUCUGGAAACAUUUGUAUGUUCAUGUUACCAUUGAAAUGUUGUUGUUUGUAAUUUGAAAGACACUCAUGUUUAGUCUUUUCAUACAGAUAAGCGAAACAAAGGGAUUUACUUCAGGUUCUGCUAAGGUUUAUGUCACGGUGGAACAAAUCAACAAACGUUCUCUUGGAAAGCUGAUAGUAAAGGUUGUAGGACACGAAGGAUGG
Haliotis rubra (blacklip abalone) is the source of this 357-nucleotide long non-coding RNA. RefSeq lists it as uncharacterized. The record is from RefSeq and is a predicted model, not a curated record. The transcript has 2 exons. Lineage: Eukaryota; Metazoa; Mollusca; Gastropoda; Lepetellida; Haliotidae.